Molecule: ribosomal RNA, 460 nt
Filed under: uncultured bacterium
Lineage: Bacteria
Description: partial 16S ribosomal RNA
Rfam family: Bacterial small subunit ribosomal RNA
Source: RNAcentral
CCUACGGGUGGCAGCAGUGAGGAAUAUUGGUCAAUGGCCGUAAGGCUGAACCAGCCACGCCGCGUGAAGGAAGAAGGAUCUCUGGUUUGUAAACUUCUUUUAUAGGGGAAUAAAGGUAUCCAUGCGUGGAUAUUUGCAUGUACCUUACGAAUAAGCAUCGGCUAACUUCGUGCCAGCAGCCGCGGUAAUACGGAGGGUGCGAGCGUUAUCCGGAUUUAUUGGGUUUAAGGGGUGCGUAGGUUGUUUUUUAAGUCAGCGGUGAACGGUGGUGGCUCAACCAUAAAAUUGCAGUUGAAACUGGAAGACUUGAGUGUGUUUGAGGUAGGCGGAAUUCGUGGUGUAGCGGUGAAAUGCAUAGAUAGCACGAAGAACACCGAUGGCGAAGGCAGCUUACUAGGCCAUAACUGACACUGAGGCACGAAAGCGUGGGGAUCAAACAGGAUUAGAUACCCCUGUAGUC